Molecule: non-coding RNA, 150 nt
Filed under: Postia placenta Mad-698-R
Lineage: Eukaryota; Fungi; Basidiomycota; Agaricomycetes; Polyporales; Adustoporiaceae
Source: RNAcentral
UGUUCGUCCUGGCGCAGACCUUUUCGUGGUCCUCGGGAUAAGUACUCUCCGGCUCAAGAAAGGCGUAUCAGCGUCCAAUACAUAUUUUUUGAUCUCUUCCAUACUGUAUUGGGUCUUGAUACGUUGUCGGUAGAAGAAACUAGCAUGCGC